Solanum dulcamara is the source of this 6657-nucleotide RNA transcript. It is a transcript of the gene named protein REDUCED CHLOROPLAST COVERAGE 1-like, with no coding region annotated. The transcript is spliced from 25 exons. Lineage: Eukaryota; Viridiplantae; Streptophyta; Magnoliopsida; Solanales; Solanaceae. The record is from RefSeq and is a predicted model, not a curated record.
UAUUUCUUUCUCUCUCACAAUUCAUUUCCCCUUUCAAAACUCUUUACUCAACUGUUCCUUAUCUUAGUUUAGACCUUACACCCCUCUUUAUAAAAUUCCCACUGCUAUCAUACACUACUACUUCAUAUUAAUAACUUAAUUAUUACUAUUAUACAGACACAUUUAUUGCCUCAGGUGUGUGUGCGCUACUUCAUUGUCAUAGUUGUUAUUGAAUGAAGCAUUAAAUACUCCUUUCUCGUUUACGCAGCGAACUUCAGCUUUCUUAUAUAUCAGGUACAUUUAAAGUAUCCGAAAGUUUAAAAAUUUGAGUUGGCAAAUGGCACCUAGCAAGAAUGGUCGUGGCAAAACAAAGGGGGACAAGAAGAAGAAAGAAGAGAAGGUUCUUCCCGUUGUAAUGGAUAUAACGAUAAACCUUCCGGAUGAGACUCAAGUUAUUUUAAAGGGAAUAUCUACGGAUAGAAUUAUCGAUGUUCUUCGAUUACUAUCGGUGAAUACAACUACUUGUAAUAUCACCAAUUUUUCACUGUCUCAUGAGCAAAGGGGUCCACGUUUAAAAGAAACAGUGGACGUUUCCGCACUGAAGCCCUGCUUCCUGACUCUUACCGAAGAGGAAUAUGAUGAAGAAAGCGCAACGGCGCAUGUUAGAAGGCUGUUGGACAUUGUCGCUUGUACGACGAGUUUUGGGUCGUCGGGGACUAGUGGCAAAGAGUUGAAAACUGACUCCAGCAAGAAUGCGCAGGGUGUGCAGGAUAACAAGAGCGCCAAAAAAUCCAACAAGGUUCGGGCAAAUGAUAAGUCAUCGUCGCCGCCACAAACGCCAACGCUGCCGUCGGCGGCGGCUCAACAGCUGGGUAAAGAUGCUGCGUCGGUGGACGUAGAUGGAGAGAUGAGCAAUACUUGCCCUAAGAUUGGAAGCUUCUAUGAGUUCUUCUCUCUUUCUCAUCUCACGCCUCCUGUUCAGUUCAUAAGAAGAGCAACAAGACAACAAGAUGAUGAAGUUUUGCCAGAUGAUUAUCUUUUCUCUCUUGAAGUGAAACUUUGUAAUGGAAAGUUGGUUAUCGUUGAAGCUUGCAAGAAAGGAUUUUAUAACUUUGGAAAGCAGGGGAUUCUUUGUCACAAUCUUGUUGAUUUGUUGAGACAACUCAGUAGAGCAUUUGACAAUGCUUACGAUGAUCUGAUGAACGCAUUCUUAGAGCGUAAUAAGUUUGGGAAUCUUCCCUAUGGAUUCAGAGCCAACACAUGGCUUAUACCACCUGUGGCAGCACAGUUGCCAGCUGUCUUUCCACCUCUACCUGUAGAGGAUGAAAACUGGGGAGCAAAUGGAGGUGGUCUUGGCCGAGAUGGAAAAUUUGAUUUGUUACCUUAUGCCAAUGAAUUUUUGAAUGUUGCAUCCAUGCCUUGUAAGACAACAGAGGAGAGGCAGAUCAGAGACAGGAAGGCUUUUCUUCUUCAUAGUUUAUUUGUUGAUGUCGCCAUUUUACGAGCCAUUUCAGCUGUUAAGUAUGUCAUGCAGAAAGUUAAACCAGCUCAUUGUGAUUCAAAUGAAGAAAUCAUUUUUAAUGAGACAGUAGGGGACUUAAGCAUAUUUGUUACCAAAGAUGCUUCAAAUGCUAGCUGCAAAGUAGAUACCAAAAUUGAUGGAUUUCAAGCAACUGGAAUAAUUAUGAAGAAUCUGAUGGAAAAAAAUUUACUGAAGGGGAUAACUGCUGAUGAAAAUACUGCUGCCCAUGAUAUUGCUACUCUAGGUGUUUUGAAUGUAAGGCAUUGUGGUUAUAUUGCAACUGUAAAAGUUCAAGGAAAAGAAAAUGACAAAUUGGACAGCCCACUGCAAAGCGUGGAACUUCCUGAUCAGCCUGAUGGUGGUGCAAAUGCCCUCAAUAUCAACAGUUUACGGUUGCUCCUUCACAUAAAAGUGGACAACAAGGUAAUGCAUUCAAAACCUUCAGAAAAUGAAGAGACAAAUUGCUCUCAGACAUUUGUGAGGAGAAUACUAGAAGAGAGUCUUACCAAACUUGAAGAAGAGAAACUAGAAGGUGACUCUUUCAUCAGAUGGGAACUUGGUGCAUGCUGGAUACAGCACUUACAAGAUCAGAAGAAAUCAGAAAAGGACAAGAAACCCCCCGCUGAGAAGACAAAAAAUGAGAUGAAGGUUGAGGGACUUGGAAUACCUCUUAAGUCCCUUAAGAACAAAAAGAAGAGCACAGAUGGAACUAACAUGGAAUCCCAAUCUGAAAGCUUCAAAUCUGUUGCAGAUGGUGUUGGAGGGGGAUCAGAAAAAGCUGCCCAGCAGUCUGGGGAGUCUCGGUUUGAGACUGAUACAGAUCAAAAUCAGGCCGUCCUCAAGGCAUUGUUGUCUGAUGCUGGUUUUACAAGGUUGAAAGAGUCAGAGACUGGGCUUCACCUUAAGUCUUUAGAAGAGCUGAUUGAUCUGUCACAGAAGUAUUACAAUGAAGUUGCCCUGCCAAAGCUGGUGGCUGAUUUUGGCUCUUUGGAACUCUCACCAGUAGAUGGUCGAACCUUAACUGAUUUCAUGCAUACCCGAGGUCUACGUAUGCGUUCUCUUGGACAAGUAGUUAAACUUUCUGAGAAGUUAUCACAUGUGCAAUCUCUUUGUAUACACGAGAUGAUAGUUCGAGCUUUUAAACAUAUUCUGCAAGCAGCUAUUGCAUCGGUUGUUGACAUUGAGGAUAUGGCUGCGGUAAUUGCUGUUGCCUUGAAUAUGAUGCUUGGGGUACCUGAAAACAAUGAUUCAAAUGAGUAUGGUGUUGAUUCUUUGAUCUGGAGAUGGCUGGAAUUAUUUUUGAAGAAGAGAUAUAAAUGGGAUGUUGGCAGCCUAAACUACAAAGAUGUGAGGAAAUUUGCAAUCCUCCGUGGUUUAUGCCAUAAGGUGGGAAUUGAACUGGUUCCAAGAGAUUAUGACAUGAAUUCCCCAAGUCCUUUUCAGAAAGUAGACAUUGUCAGCCUAGUACCAGUGCAUAAGCAAGCUGCUUGCUCUUCUGCAGACGGCAGACAGCUUUUGGAAUCAUCUAAAACAGCUCUGGAUAAGGGAAAACUUGAAGAUGCUGUCAGCUAUGGGACUAAGGCUCUUGCCAAGCUGGUCGCAGUAUGCGGUCCAUACCAUCGAAUGACAGCUGGAGCUUAUAGCCUUCUUGCUGUUGUUCUGUAUCACACCGGUGAUUUUAAUCAGGCCACAAUCUAUCAGCAAAAGGCCUUGGACAUAAAUGAAAGAGAGUUGGGCCUCGAUCACCCCGACACCAUGAAAAGUUAUGGUGAUCUUGCAGUUUUCUAUUACCGACUUCAACACACAGAAUUGGCUCUCAAGUAUGUAAAACGAGCUCUUUAUUUGUUGCAUCUCACAUGUGGCCCCUCCCAUCCAAACACUGCGGCGACGUACAUAAAUGUGGCUAUGAUGGAGGAAGGGCUCGGUAAUGUGCAUGUUGCCCUCAGAUAUCUCCAUAAAGCUUUGAAGUGUAACCAAAAGUUACUCGGUCCGGACCAUAUUCAGACAGCUGCAAGUUACCAUGCUAUAGCAAUUGCACUCUCUUUGAUGGAAGCUUAUCCUUUGAGUGUUCAGCAUGAGCAAACAACCUUGCAGAUACUUCGAGCAAAGCUUGGUCCAGAUGAUCUUCGCACACAGGAUGCUGCUGCAUGGCUUGAAUAUUUUGAGUCGAAGGCUUUUGAACAGCAAGAAGCUGCUCGAAAUGGAACUAAGAAGCCUGAUGCAUCAAUAGCUAGCAAGGGUCAUUUGAGUGUGUCAGAUUUGCUCGACUACAUCAAUCCAAGUCCCGAUGCCAAAGGGAGAGAUGGAUCAAAAAGAAAAGGUUUUGUCUCAAAGGCUCUUAUUUCUCAAGUGAAGGGAAAAUCUGAUCAAAGCAAUGUUGCCAUACCAAACUCUGACACUCCUAAAGAUGGCCUAAAAGAAGAGUCAGAUGAGGUUAAACAAAUUGUCGAAGAUCACACUGAGCCCAAGAUGAAUAUGGAAUCCGUUGACAAAGUAACUGAAUCCCAUCACAAUGGAGAUGGAGGAAUUGCUGAGAACAAACCCAUCCAAUCUGGACCUUUGCUGAAGGAAACUUCAAUUGAGAAGUCUAUGGUCCGUGAUGUCUUAUCUGAACCUUCUGCUGAAGCAGAAGAUGGCUGGCAGCCAGUGCAGAGACCAAGAUCAGGUGGUUUCUAUGGACGAAGACGAAGGCAGAGGCGUCAAACCAUCAGCAAGGUCAUUGGUUACCAGAAAAAGGACCCAGUUUAUGAUGUUGAUCAUGCUAAACUGAAGAAUAACUAUCAAGCUAGUAAAUAUUAUGUCUUAAAGAAACGGACAUCACCAGGAAGUUAUGCAGAUUAUUACAUAGCAAAAAGUCAAACUCCUGGUGCCAAACUUGGUCGAAGAGUCAUAAAAGCUGUGGCCUACCGUGUAAAGUCCGUCUCAUCUUCUGUCAGAUAUGCUGUUCCUGAGAUCUCCACAACUGGAGGAGAUUUGUUAAAUACUUCAUCAGAGCAGGUUCAAGUUUCUGCAACAAAAGAGGUUGGAUCACUAUCAAAGAGAAGUUCGAUAGUAAGCCUUGGAAAAUCUCCUUCCUAUAAGGAAGUAGCACUUGCCCCGCCUGGUACCAUCUCUAUGUUGCAGGAGAGAGUUUCUGAAGAUGAAAUUCCUGAUAAUCAAGAUGCUAUGAAACUUGGAGAGGAGAGCAAUGGAGCAGAAGAAAAUUCCAAAACAAUGAGUAGAGAUGCAGAAUCCAUGGAGAAAGAGAAUAUUCAGGAUCUUGUUACGGAUUCUGCUGAUCAUGUAAAAAGAGAAACAGCAGCUACUGACAAAAAAGAAGAAAUUCAAAUGAGUGAUCUCAAAGGUGGUGAAAUUUCAGAUGUGAUAUCUGCAAAUGCAUCUAUUCAAACCGAACAUGUUGAUGUUAGUCCAAUGGAACAGGUUAGUGUCGAGACUCAUAAUGUCCCUACUUCUGACAAUUCUCCCAAAGUGGAUCCUUGUGAAAAGGACUCAUCAAGCAAUUUAAAUCCUGGCUGUAUCUCGAAUAUAACCUUGCAAGAUAUAGAUCAUCUGAAGGUAAAAUCUGCUUCAUCUCAUACAAGUGAUGCAAGUCGAGAAUUGUCCAGAAAGCUAUCCGCAUCAGCAGCACCAUUCAGCCCUUCCCCAGCCGUUCCCCGUGUAGCACCAUUACCUAUGAACAUUAAUCUCCCUUCUCCUGGAACACGACCACCUGUUGGCCCUUGGUCAGUGAACAUGUCACUUCAUCAAGGACCACCGACCAUCUUGCCCAAUCCAAUGUGCUCCUCCCCUCAUCACCUCUACCCUUCACCUCCACACACCCCAAACAUUAUGCACCCAUUGCGCUUUAUCUACCCUCCGUAUUCUCAACCCCAGACGUUACCUCCAAGUACAUUCCCCAUGAAUAGCACUUUCCAUCCGAAUCAUUAUGCUUGGCAAUGCAAUAUAGCUUCUAAUGCAUCAGAGUAUGUUCCUGCCACAGUUUGGCCUGGCUGCCACCCAGUCGAGUUUUCUAUCUCACCACCUGUGAUUGAGCCUAUAACUGACUCAAUUUCCGCUGCUAAGGAGCUAUCUGAUAAUCCUGAAAGCAUUAGUUUGACAACAAGCUUACCAGUAGAUCUCAACACCGGGGAUGAAGUCAAGGAAGAUGUAAAUCUUCCAGCAUCAGAAACGGUGGAGAGCUUAACUGCGGUUGGAUCAGAAAAGGAGAGAGCAAGCAACUCUCCAGAUUCACGUUUUGUUACCUUGUCCAGUGAUCAAUCAAAAGAGGGCAGUGGAUCAAAUGAGAAGGCCGGAAGUUGCAGUGAUAAUUAUGUGCAAAGAAAUCUUACGGUGGCGGAUAAUGAGAAGACCUUCAACAUUUUGGUACGGGGCCGGAGGAACCGCAAACAAACUCUGAGAAUGCCUAUAAGUUUGCUCAAGAGACCAUAUUCUUCUCAGCCCUUCAAAGCUGUAUAUAGCAGGGUUAUAAGGGAGACUGAGGUUCCCAGCUCUACCAGCUUUGAUCCACAUAAACAUGGCAUAGCGACUGCUACUUGAGGCACUUUUUGUCUUUUACCAGAUAAUCCUAGCAGGAUGGUCUAUUGAAGCUGAAUAUACAUAUCUGUUGGUCGUAUAUCAUGACUGCUGGAAUUUAUUGCUGUUCCAAUUCUCAUGGCUUUGAUAUUAGUUGGCUUUCAGACUAUGCCUCAGUUUAACUUGAAGGUUUACUUCUUGACAUACUUUUUGACGCUAAGGAGUUGUCUUUUCUGUAUAAGCUUCACAGUUUGGUCAGAAUAUUUUUUUGCCCUUUUAGGAGCAUAGUGCAAUAUAGAAUUUAAUCUUUUUCUUGUUAUUUCUCAGUUGCUAGUGAUUAUUGGUUUCACUGACUUGUAUACGUUACCAAAGUAAUCUUCGACUGCUCCAACAAAGUAUAUCUGCAUCCGAUCUAGGACUUGCAGAGUUGUAUGCAAUAUAUUCUGCUCUAAAUUCAAUCUGAAAUGAUCUGAGAAGAAUUCUGAGAUUUUUGGGUUCGAGUUGGAUGGAGUUCUGGCAAGUGCUUAAUUGAGUUUAUUGACCCAUUUAAUCAAAUUGCCUGUGCUGACUUCUUCAUCGACCAUGUAUUACUCUUUUGUAUCUAUUCAGGAAUGAGAUAUGUUGUUUCUGUUUUCUGUGUAUAA